This 720-nucleotide long non-coding RNA is filed under the name Marmota monax (woodchuck). The record is from RNAcentral. Lineage: Eukaryota; Metazoa; Chordata; Mammalia; Rodentia; Sciuridae.
CCGGACUGGGAGCGGUCCGCGUCGCCCUAGAAAGCGCCUUCUGGGUUUGUUUCCAUUUUUAGUCGGGCGUGUGGCGUGCUGUCACCGACCUUCCUGCAGCUGCGCGAAGGUGUUUUCUGCAGGCGAAACCUAAAGCGCUGGAGUCCCGUUCUGUGCACCGAACAUUUUCACUUCACUAACGAGAAACAGAGUCUCUGGACCCUGACACAGCUCCGUGUGGUUAUUUGCACUCUUACAAGCUUGGAGCGGGUUAGGAGGCGAGCUCCCAUGGUAACCCUGGGCCCGCUCCAAGUCCUCCUGUUUCAUAAAAGCAUUCAGUGUGCUGUCAUCGGGACCUUGGCGUGCGGGACUCCUCCCCAACACAUCCAUUCUGGCAUUCCCGCCCCAUCCCCCAGGGAGACUAAUUUAAACAUUUCCUAGGCUUUAUUAAUUUUCAAGGGAGAAAGAUUUCUCACAUCAGGGUAAGAGGGAGAUUCUGACUCAGCAGCAGGCUUGUUGAGGCUUGCAAAAUGGAAGGGGGGAGAGAGCUUUCCACCGCAGUGCUCUCUCAGGAGCACUGAAAGGAUCGGAUCCUGUGUAUUUCCCUUUCUAUGGAAACAUUUUACUUAGGGAAAAGUGGUUGAAGGUGUCCAUAAAGAACAGUGAUCCAUACUACAUAAGAUAUGCAGUUCAUAUUCUAGUUUCACAAUUUUAACUUUUUUGUUGGAGCUUGGAAGUGAA